Molecule: ribosomal RNA, 252 nt
Filed under: uncultured bacterium
Lineage: Bacteria
Description: partial 16S ribosomal RNA
Rfam family: Bacterial small subunit ribosomal RNA
Source: RNAcentral
UACGGAGGAUGCGAGCGUUAUCCGGACUUAUUGGGUUUAAAGGGUGCGUAGGCGGAUCGUUAAGUCAGUGGUCAAAUUGAGGGGCUCAACCCCUUCCCGCCAUUGAAACUGGCGAUCUUGAGUGGAAGAGAAGUAUGCGGAAUGCGUGGUGUAGCGGUGAAAUGCAUAGAUAUCACGCAGAACCCCGAUUGCGAAGGCAGCAUGCCGGCUUCCGACUGACGCUGAAGCACGAAAGCGUGGGGAUCGAACAGG